AACGUAGAAUUUACCCAUGCAAAAUUCCUACUGUGAUCACAGAAACCAGCCUUAACACAAUACCAUUCCAUACGAGACCAGACAACACACCAUACCACAGCAUAAAACACCAUACAACAGCAUAAAACACCAUACCACAGCAUAAAACACCAUACAACAGCAUAAAACACCAUACCACAGCAUAAAACACCAUACAACAGCAUAAAACACCAUACCACAGCAUAAACACCAUACAACAGCAUAAAACACCAUACCACAGCAUAAAACACCAUACCACAGCAUAAAACACCAUACCACAGCAUAAAACACCAUACCACAGCAUAAAACACCAUACCACAGCAUAAAACACCAUACAACAGCAUAAAACACCAUACA
Paramuricea clavata is the source of this 375-nucleotide non-coding RNA. The record is from the annotation of a GenBank genome assembly. NCBI's taxonomy places the organism in Eukaryota, Metazoa, Cnidaria, Anthozoa, Malacalcyonacea, Plexauridae.